GGAAGUGAGGGUAUCUGACUGCAACCUCUGUCAUCCCAUGAUCUCCGGGGUUGAUCCAGCUACUCUGGCUGGCAAGGCAGCUGCCUCCUUCCUCCUUCAGCACUCCCUGUGAGUUCCUCUUGAAGCUGCGCACUCAGAGAGGACGACCACCCGCAUAGAGGAGAACCGUUCCUCUGUCAUGGGUGUAUGAGUAGCAGUGGUCCCCCGCGAGAAUCUCCGAACAAGAUCUCAAAUUUUAGUGAAAGUGCUCCUCAUCCGGAAGCCUCCACAACUCCUGUCUGUGUGGGAUGGUAC
This 294-nucleotide small nuclear RNA is filed under the name Octodon degus (degu). RNAcentral describes it as "7SK RNA (ENSODEG00000023310.1)". It matches the Rfam family "7SK RNA". Rfam says of the family: 7SK was discovered as an abundant small nuclear RNA in the mid-70s but a possible function has only recently been suggested. Two independent studies have found that 7SK RNA binds the CDK9/cyclin T complex (known as elongation factor P-TEFb). P-TEFb activates transcription by phosphorylating the C-terminal domain of RNA polymerase II. Lineage: Eukaryota; Metazoa; Chordata; Mammalia; Rodentia; Octodontidae. The record is from RNAcentral.